Molecule: ribosomal RNA, 411 nt
Filed under: uncultured bacterium
Lineage: Bacteria
Description: bacterial SSU rRNA
Rfam family: Bacterial small subunit ribosomal RNA
Source: RNAcentral
UAUUGGUCAAUGGGCUUACGCCUGAAACAGCCAAGUCGCGUGAGGGAAGACUGCCCUAUGGGUUGUAAACCUCUUUUGUCAGGGAGCAAUUGGCGCUACGUGUAGCGUUAUCGAGAGUACCUGAAGAAAAAGCAUAGGCUAACUCCGUGCCAGCAGCCGCGGUAAUACGGAGGAUGCGAGCGUUAUCCGGAUUUAUUGGGUUUAAAGGGUGCGUAGGCGGAAUAUCAAGUCAGCGGUAAAAAUUCGGGGCUCAACCCCGUCGUGCCGUUGAAACUGAUGUUCUUGAGUGGGCGAGAAGUAUGCGGAAUGCGUGGUGUAGCGGUGAAAUGCAUAGAUAUCACGCAGAACUCCGAUUGCGAAGGCAGCAUACCGGCGCCCAACUGACGCUGAAGCACGAAAGCGUGGGUAUCG